UACGGGGGGGGCAAGCGUUGUUCGGAAUUACUGGGCGUAAAGGGCGCGUAGGCGGUUCGAUAAGUCAGCUGUGAAAACCAUGGGCUUAACUCAUGGCCUGCAGUUGAGACUGUCGGGCUGGAGUGUGGGAGAGGAGAGUGGAAUUCCUGGUGUAGCGGUGGAAUGCGUAGAGAUCCGGAGGAAGACCGGUGGCGAAGGCGGUCUGCUGGGCAGUUUCUGACACUGAUGCGCGACAGCGUGGGGAGCAAACAGG
RNAcentral lists this ribosomal RNA (253 nucleotides) under uncultured bacterium. RNAcentral describes it as "partial 16S ribosomal RNA". It matches the Rfam family "Bacterial small subunit ribosomal RNA", at positions 524 to 776 of the family's 1533-position model. The record is from RNAcentral.